This 253-nucleotide ribosomal RNA is filed under the name uncultured bacterium. Its description in RNAcentral is "partial 16S ribosomal RNA". It matches the Rfam family "Bacterial small subunit ribosomal RNA", at positions 524 to 776 of the family's 1533-position model. The record is from RNAcentral.
UACGGAGGGUGCAAGCGUUAUCCGGAUUCACUGGGCUUAAAGGGUGUGUAGGCGGGUCUAUAAGUCAGUGGUGAAAUCUCCGGGCUCAACCCGGAAACUGCCAUUGAUACUAUAGGUCUUGAAUAUUGUGGAGGUGGGCGGAAUGUGUCAUGUAGCGGUGAAAUGCUUAGAGAUGACACAGAACACCGAUUGCGAAGGCAGCCCACUACGCAACUAUUGACGCUGAGGCACGAAAGCGUGGGGAUCAAACAGG